RNAcentral lists this ribosomal RNA (251 nucleotides) under uncultured bacterium. RNAcentral's name for it is "partial 16S ribosomal RNA". It matches the Rfam family "Bacterial small subunit ribosomal RNA", at positions 525 to 775 of the family's 1533-position model. The record is from RNAcentral.
ACGUAGGGAGCGAGCGUUGUCCGGAAUUACUGGGUGUAAAGGGAGCGUAGGCGGGACUGCAAGUCAGAUGUGAAAACUAUGGGCUCAACCUGUAGAUUGCAUUUGAAACUGUGGUUCUUGAGUGAAGUAGAGGUAAGCGGAAUUCCUAGUGUAGCGGUGAAAUGCGUAGAUAUUAGGAGGAACAUCGGUGGCGAAGGCGGCUUACUGGGCUUUUACUGACGCUGAGGCUCGAAAGCGUGGGGAGCAAACAG